RNAcentral lists this ribosomal RNA (1205 nucleotides) under uncultured organism. RNAcentral describes it as "bacterial SSU rRNA". It matches the Rfam family "Bacterial small subunit ribosomal RNA", at positions 115 to 1301 of the family's 1533-position model. The record is from RNAcentral.
GCGUGGGUAACCUACCCUGAUCCUGGGAAUAACCCUCGGAAACGAGGGCUAAUACCGAAUGUGGCGAACGACCGGUUGGUCGCUCGCUAAAGGUGGCCUCUUCUAUGCUGACGGGUUGGGAUCGGCCCGCGUCCCAUUAGCUAGUUGGUGAGGUAACGGCUCACCAAGGCCACGAUGGGUAGCCGGCCUGAGACGGUGUACGGCCACACUGGCACUGAGACAAGGGCCAGUCCCCUAUGGGAGGCGCAGGCGGGAAUAGUUCACAAUGGGCGAAAGCCUGAUGACGCGACGCCGCGUGAGCGAAGAAGACCUUCGGGUUGUAAAGCUCUGUCAGGAGGGAAGAAGGCUCUACGGGUUAAUAGCCCGUGGAAUUGACGGUACCUCCAGAGGAAGCCCCGGCUAAAUACGUGCCAGCAGCCGCGGUAAUACGUAUGGGGCAAGCGUUGUCCGGAUUUACUGGGCGUAAAGGGCGCGUAGGCGGUUUGUUAAGUCGAAGGUGAAAUCCUCGGGCUCAACUCGAGAAUUGCCUUCGAUACUGGCAAACUAGAGUGGCGGAGAGGAAAGCGGAACUCUUGGUGUAACGGUGGAAUGUGUAGAUAUCAAGAGGAACACCGGUGGCGAAGGCGGCUUUCUGGACGCACACUGACGCUCAGGCGCGAAAGCGUGGGUAGCAAACAGGAUUAGAUACCCUGGUAGUCCACGCCAUAAACGAUGGGUACUAGGUGUCGGGGGUAUCGACCCCUCCGGUGCCGCAGUUAACGCACUAAGUACCCCGCCUGGGGAUUAUGGUCGCAAGGCUGAAACUCAAAGGAAUUGACGGGGCGCCGCACAAGCGGUGGAGCAUGUGGUUUAAUUCGACGCAACGCGAAGAACCUUACCUUGGCUUGACAUGCUUGGGACAGCGCUGGAAACAGCGUCUCUCCUUCGGGAGCCCUUGCACAGGUGCUGCAUGGCUGUCGUCAGCUCGUGUCGUGAGAUGUUGGGUUAAGUCCCGCAACGAGCGCAACCCUCGUUACUAGUUGCCAUCAGUUCGGCUGGGCACUCUAGUGAGACUGCCGGUGAUAAACCGGAGGAAGGUGAGGAUGAUCUCAAGUCAUCAUGGCCCUUACGCCCAGGGCUACACACGUGCUACAAUGGUCGGCACAAAGGGUCGCUAAGCCGCGAGGUGGAGCUAUUCCCAAAAAACCGGCCUCAGUUCGGAUUGG